RNAcentral lists this ribosomal RNA (1142 nucleotides) under Escherichia coli. RNAcentral's name for it is "partial 23S ribosomal RNA". It matches the Rfam family "Bacterial large subunit ribosomal RNA", at positions 313 to 1458 of the family's 2925-position model. Lineage: Bacteria; Pseudomonadati; Pseudomonadota; Gammaproteobacteria; Enterobacterales; Enterobacteriaceae. The record is from RNAcentral.
UGAAUCAGUGUGUGUGUUAGUGGAAGCGUCUGGAAAGGCGCGCGAUACAGGGUGACAGCCCCGUACACAAAAAUGCACAUGCUGUGAGCUCGAUGAGUAGGGCGGGACACGUGGUAUCCUGUCUGAAUAUGGGGGGACCAUCCUCCAAGGCUAAAUACUCCUGACUGACCGAUAGUGAACCAGUACCGUGAGGGAAAGGCGAAAAGAACCCCGGCGAGGGGAGUGAAAAAGAACCUGAAACCGUGUACGUACAAGCAGUGGGAGCCUCUUUAUGGGGUGACUGCGUACCUUUUGUAUAAUGGGUCAGCGACUUAUAUUCUGUAGCAAGGUUAACCGAAUAGGGGAGCCGAAGGGAAACCGAGUCUUAACUGGGCGUUAAGUUGCAGGGUAUAGACCCGAAACCCGGUGAUCUAGCCAUGGGCAGGUUGAAGGUUGGGUAACACUAACUGGAGGACCGAACCGACUAAUGUUGAAAAAUUAGCGGAUGACUUGUGGCUGGGGGUGAAAGGCCAAUCAAACCGGGAGAUAGCUGGUUCUCCCCGAAAGCUAUUUAGGUAGCGCCUCGUGAAUUCAUCUCCGGGGGUAGAGCACUGUUUCGGCAAGGGGGUCAUCCCGACUUACCAACCCGAUGCAAACUGCGAAUACCGGAGAAUGUUAUCACGGGAGACACACGGCGGGUGCUAACGUCCGUCGUGAAGAGGGAAACAACCCAGACCGCCAGCUAAGGUCCCAAAGUCAUGGUUAAGUGGGAAACGAUGUGGGAAGGCCCAGACAGCCAGGAUGUUGGCUUAGAAGCAGCCAUCAUUUAAAGAAAGCGUAAUAGCUCACUGGUCGAGUCGGCCUGCGCGGAAGAUGUAACGGGGCUAAACCAUGCACCGAAGCUGCGGCAGCGACGCUUAUGCGUUGUUGGGUAGGGGAGCGUUCUGUAAGCCUGCGAAGGUGUGCUGUGAGGCAUGCUGGAGGUAUCAGAAGUGCGAAUGCUGACAUAAGUAACGAUAAAGCGGGUGAAAAGCCCGCUCGCCGGAAGACCAAGGGUUCCUGUCCAACGUUAAUCGGGGCAGGGUGAGUCGACCCCUAAGGCGAGGCCGAAAGGCGUAGUCGAUGGGAAACAGGUUAAUAUUCCUGUACUUGGUGUUACUGCG